Molecule: long non-coding RNA, 1356 nt
Organism: Triticum aestivum (bread wheat)
Lineage: Eukaryota; Viridiplantae; Streptophyta; Magnoliopsida; Poales; Poaceae
Exons: 5
Source: RefSeq, a predicted model, not a curated record
UGCCAUCAUAGUGGACAGAGGAUCCUUUUCUCUUCGGUUUCCCCUUUCCUCUUCUGUUGCCUCUUUCUGCCCGCUUGCUUCGUCCGUCUGCUGUCUUCCUCCCUGCCGCACUACUGCGCCCUCUCCUCGCCGGCUCGCUUCGCCCCCUUCGACCAUGCUGCACUGCGGGCUAUUGCGAUGGCCGUGCUUUGCUCCAUGGGUGCUGACGGUUGAGUUUCCUUGCCUUCGUCUUGUCUCUGGUGUAGGAGCUUGGGUCGUUCUGUCCUUGCCGUCGAGUGGCAUAUAUGAUAUCAAGCCUUCAGCAGAUGCACCAAACAAACUACAUUUUUCUGCAGGUUUUAGCAAUUUCGAAUGACACAAUGCCCAUUCUGCAAGUAUAAUUACCACACCCUCCUCUUACCCGUGCUACUGAUUACUAAUAUUUUUGCUGCUCUGGUGCUAUGCUAUUGAAUGUUCAAAUCAACUAGGACAAAAUUGUUGUGCUCUAUUCAUCCACACAAAUGACACUUGGCUCCUCAGGGGAUAUGAGGAGAAAGCUCUACUCUUUGCAGUGUUGGCAUAAUUUCUACAAGUGACAUGGUUGAUCUUUGCUAUGUUGAUCGAUGGCAUGAUAUGUACCUAAGGUUGGAGAUUCUUAAUUAGGUACUAAAAAGAUGACAGCUACUUCAUUUUCAGUACAGUAGUUUACUGAAUAUUUCUAAGGUUUGAAUUGCAUCUGCAUGAUCACAGUGACAAUAUAACUAAAACUGGAAGAAACAUCAGACUAAAUUCAAUCAGUUUUUUACCUUUUUUAGAAAGAUAAGAACAAUAUCCAGUAUGAUUCUCUUCACUGAGGAGCUCGAAGGCUGGUACUGCGGCUUGUUGUGCCAAUAUUUGAUAAUCUGCUGCUAGCUCCAGAGACGGCGCCAUUAGUAUGUGCAUUGGUGAUGCUCAGCACAAAGCUAUGUAUCCACCUCCUUUGCUCUAGACUACGUCUCUCCAGCCCUGAGCUAUCCUUAUUAUUUUAUUAGUUUGAUAUAAUAUCAUGAAGAAGGUGACGGUCCUGUUCUUGGUCCUGCACUGCACCACAGACCGGGUGACAGACCUGCUGACCCACUAAUCAAACCCUUGACACAACUGCUGUUUUGCUUCUCAUAUUUAUCUCAUAUUGAUACCUUUUUGUGAUUCACUUUUAUCCUCUCUAUUCUAACUCAUUAGCUUGCUCAAUGUUUUAGUUUGUUCAUGUAUUUGUGUUGCCUCAGAAAUUACGAGUUGCAAGUAUGAGUGGCAUCUUCAACCAUGCUAUUAUAUCUAUUACUUUUCUAAACUGAUGUGUUCCUGGAAUUACAUAUGAGAGUACAUGUAAUUGAGUUGUGC